UACGAACUGUGCAAACGUUAUUCGGAAUCACUGGGCUUACAGGGUGCGUAGGCGGCUUGUUAAGCAGGGUGUGAAAUCCCUCGGCUCAACCGAGGAAUUGCGCCCUGAACUGGCGAGCUGGAGUGGGACAGAGGUGCGCGGAACUUCCAGUGGAGCGGUGAAAUGUGUUGAUAUUGGAAGGAACGCCGGAGGCGAAAGCGGCGCACUGGGUCUCAACUGACGCUGAGGCACGAAAGCCAGGGGAGCAAACGGG
This 253-nucleotide ribosomal RNA is filed under the name uncultured bacterium. RNAcentral's name for it is "partial 16S ribosomal RNA". It matches the Rfam family "Bacterial small subunit ribosomal RNA", at positions 524 to 776 of the family's 1533-position model. The record is from RNAcentral.